UAGCCAGUAAGUUGUGAGAUAUGUGAAGUUAAUUUUUUAAGAAAUAGUUCCUGGCAUUAAUUUUAUAGGAUUUAACUGUUUAUGAAAGAGCUCUCAAAGAACAAGGAAGUGCUGAUGUAGCGUAUGCUCGUCUUAUGUUACUGGGAUCAGCUGGUACUGGCAAGACAUCUCUCAAGCGUUCAUUAAUGGAAGAACCUUUCAAUCCUCAUACUACAAGCACCAUUGUAUCUGAUGUAUCCUCUGUACGACCAUUUGGACAUGAGUGGCAAACAAUGAAAGAAAAAAAAUGGAGAGAAGCCACAGAAGAAGAUGAAAUUGAAGAACUUGCACAUUUGCUUGGAUCCAGUCAUUCUAAACCAUCGUCACACCAUGCACUUAAAUCACUCUCACGAUAUUUUUAUGAUGCAUUUUUUUCUAUUCGUUCUGAAGUUUCCAUUGUAAAUGUAGAUAGUGGUAUCAAA
This is a long non-coding RNA of Amphimedon queenslandica, 461 nucleotides long. RefSeq lists it as uncharacterized. The transcript is spliced from 2 exons. The record is from RefSeq and is a predicted model, not a curated record. NCBI's taxonomy places the organism in Eukaryota, Metazoa, Porifera, Demospongiae, Haplosclerida, Niphatidae.